RNAcentral lists this ribosomal RNA (877 nucleotides) under Ramularia leonuri. RNAcentral describes it as "eukaryotic LSU rRNA". It matches the Rfam family "Eukaryotic large subunit ribosomal RNA", at positions 35 to 943 of the family's 3401-position model. Lineage: Eukaryota; Fungi; Ascomycota; Dothideomycetes; Mycosphaerellales; Mycosphaerellaceae. The record is from RNAcentral.
UAAGCAUAUCAAUAAGCGGAGGAAAAGAAACCAACAGGGAUUGCCCUAGUAACGGCGAGUGAAGCGGCAACAGCUCAAAUUUGAAAUCUGGCGCAAGCCCGAGUUGUAAUUUGUAGAGGAUGCUUCUAGGUAGCGACCGGUCUAAGUUCCUUGGAACAGGACGUCAUAGAGGGUGAGAAUCCCGUAUGUGACCGGCCCGCACCUUCUACGUAGCUCCUUCGACGAGUCGAGUUGUUUGGGAAUGCAGCUCUAAAUGGGAGGUAAAUUUCUUCUAAAGCUAAAUACCGGCCAGAGACCGAUAGCGCACAAGUAGAGUGAUCGAAAGAUGAAAAGCACUUUGGAAAGAGAGUUAAAAAGCACGUGAAAUUGUUGAAAGGGAAGCGCUCACAACCAGACUUCUGGGCGGUGUUCCGCCGGUCUUCUGACCGGUCUACUCACCGUCCCGAGGCCAACAUCAUCUGGGACCGCUGGAUAAGACCUCAGGAAUGUAGCUUCCCUCGGGAAGUGUUAUAGCCUGUGGUGAUGCAGCGCGUCUCGGGUGAGGUCCGCGCUUCGGCAAGGAUGUUGGCGUAAUGGUUGUCAGCGGCCCGUCUUGAAACACGGACCAAGGAGUCUAACAUCUAUGCGAGUGUUCGGGUGUCAAACCCCUACGCGUAAUGAAAGUGAACGGAGGUGGGAAGCGUAAGCUGCACCAUCGACCGAUCCUGAUGUCCUCGGAUGGAUUUGAGUAAGAGCAUAGCUGUUGGGACCCGAAAGAUGGUGAACUAUGCCUGAAUAGGGUGAAGCCAGAGGAAACUCUGGUGGAGGCUCGCAGCGGUUCUGACGUGCAAAUCGAUCGUCAAAUUUGGGUAUAGGGGCGAAAGACUAAUCGAACCAU